CUUCAAAUUCCUUUCUAAUUUGAAAUAUAUCCUCAAAUAUAGAAAAUUGAGAGAUACCAUCUUUCUCUACAAAAUGCUUCAGAACGUGCAAUUUUUAAAUUAAGCAGAAAGAAAAAAAGGAAGAAAAAUGUUUAAUGAAAAAUCCCAAUCAUCUCAUAAACAACUCAUUUUACUACAAGGCAACCCUGAUUUAUAGUGGCGCAUCAAAGCUGGAUGUCAAAGUUACUAUUUCCUGAAGGAUAACAGUGGCCACCCGGUUGCAUUUCCUUGCCAAUCUACAGUGACUGUCAUGGUUCAAAGCAAAGGGAACAGAAUGACCAGUGAAUUGAGCCAUUCACAUCAGUGAUAGCGUUGCUCUGUUGGGAGAAUGCACUACAAAAAUGAGAGGAGAGAGUGUUGAAUCCACCAGAAUGUUGGGAGAUGUAAUUCCAGAAAGGAGGACUUCAAGGACUUCCAGCAUCACUUUCCAGCACAGCAAGAACAUCCACAGUACAUGGUGCAGUUGCACUGAUGCACAGUUUUGUCACUGAGCCUGAUGCUAGAUAUUUUCUGCUCCAGUGGGGAAGUUAAUUACUUUUAUCAAAAUUAAUCUAAAUCUGCAUUAAUAUAAGGGUUAGGAUGAAGGUUAAAUAAAGUUUCAAAUCAUCUCAUCCUAAACUUGUCAGAUUAGACAAGUCUUUGCAACUGAUGAUUGAUUCUUAUGAAAGCAAAAGCUGCCGCUCUCUCAACAUUGCUGAGGCUGCAAGGCAAAUGUGGAGUCCAUCUAGUCAACCCCCUCCUCUAAGGAGCCAGAGCAGGUCACUCCAGCGGGAUUUUCAGUACCCCCAAUGGGAAAGACUCCAUAACCUCUCUGAGGAACAUGCUCCAUUGGUCAGUCACCCUCACAGUUAAUAUUUCCUUAUGUAUAAACGGCUUUUCUGUGUUUCAGUGUAUUUUCUGUACUUCCUCCAUGAGGUGUUUAUGCACAUUGAUAAAAUCCCUCCUAAGCCUUCUGUGUUCCUCAUGUGUCAUGUACUGCAAGCCCUUAAUCACUGAGUAGCUGUUUACAAGAAUUACCCCAGCAUCUCCCUGUCUUUUGCACAGAGGAGCCCAGCACUGGGCCAGCACUCCAGGUCUGUCUCACCAGGGUUCAGUAGAGGGGAAGAACCAUCUCCCUCAAUCUGCUGGUAAAACUCUUGUCUAAUGGACCCUGGGAGACUGCUGACCUUGAUCCCUUCUGGAUCAGAGAUAACUUGGUGUCCCUGAGGGGCCCAGGUACAGGGCUUUGCAUUUCCCUUUGUUGAAAUUUAUGAGAUUCCUGUCUGCCCAUUUCUCCACCCUGACAAGGUUCCUGUGAAGAGCAACACAACUUUCUGGUCCACCAAUCAGUCUUCUGUAAACUUGCUGGAGGUGGAUUCUGUCUCGUCAUGCAGGUCAUUAACUGAGAUGUUGAACAGCAGUGGUCCCAGUAUCACUCUGUGACAUACACACCAAGGACUUUGGUUUUCCUAGCCCCAUUCCUGCAUGGUUGGACACUGUCUCUAUAUUCUUCUUGGAUCACUUGUCCCUGCUUACACUUAUUGUAUGCUUUCUUUCCAUGUUUGAGUUUUGUCAAAAGCUACUUGCUCAUCUCUGCAGACCUUCUGCCACCUUUGUUUGGCUUCUUGCACAUAGGCAUGGACUGCUCUUGAACUUGGAGGAGGUGAUCCUGGAAAAUCAACAAGAUGCAAUUAUGAGUAUUUGGUGUCUAAUAUCCCAGUCUAAAGACAUUCCUACAAUUAUCUUUGCAUUAUAUGUUAUAAACAGUGAAAAAAGAACAAGAUUAGGUUUUGGUUUGGUUUUUUUUUUUUUAAUUACUUAAUUAAUAUUGAUUGGUACAAUAAUUCUCUGCAGUAUUUCCCCAUAAUUUUUUUCAUUAAAAUUCCCACUUUAUGGGGAAAAAAAUCUGGUAAUUUUAUUAAAUGGUAGCUACCAUCAAUAUCUGACCUUUGAGAUAGUCCUUCACACUAAAUCUAAAUCCUCUGGAUUUUUAAAGGAUUAAACAGGUUAACUGAACACUUUUAUGCUUAACCUUAGAGAGCCUUAAAAGCUCUCAAAAAAAAAAAAAAGUCCUAAUUUUUAUAUAUUUCAUGUGUUUAUCAUUCAGUACUAAAGUAAAUGUAUUGAAUUAACUGAAAUGGAAUUUUGUAUUUGUUCUUCAAAGCAAAAAUCUUAGGAUUGUGGAUAAAUUUGUUAUAAACAAUGUUUUGAAAAAAUUAGGCAAAGAUUAACCUAUUGCAUUUUUUGCCUUGUGACUGCCAAAGUAUUAUAGUUUCAUUGUUUUUUUUUCCCUAAAAGAAUGAAACUUAUGAAUGAGAAGAACGGUAAAUGAUGAAUAAAAGACCCAUAAAAUUGUU
Molecule: long non-coding RNA, 2375 nt
Organism: Corvus hawaiiensis (hawaiian crow)
Lineage: Eukaryota; Metazoa; Chordata; Aves; Passeriformes; Corvidae
Exons: 3
Source: RefSeq, a predicted model, not a curated record